AUUGAACGCUGGCGGCAGGCCUAACACAUGCAAGUCGAGCGGAUGAAGGGAGCUUGCUCCUGGAUUCAGCGGCGGACGGGUGAGUAAUGCCUAGGAAUCUGCCUGGUAGUGGGGGAUAACGUCCGGAAACGGGCGCUAAUACCGCAUACGUCCUGAGGGAGAAAGUGGGGGAUCUUCGGACCUCACGCUAUCAGAUGAGCCUAGGUCGGAUUAGCUAGUUGGUGGGGUAAAGGCCUACCAAGGCGACGAUCCGUAACUGGUCUGAGAGGAUGAUCAGUCACACUGGAAAUCAGAGACGGGCUACAGUCCUAUAGGAGGGACAAGAGGGGAAUAUAGGAGACUGGGCGCGAGCGUGUUCCAGACAUGCGGCGCGUGUGAAGAAGGUCUUCGGAUUGUAAAGCACUUUAAGUUGGGAGGAAGGGCAGUAAGUUAAUACCUUGCUGUUUUGACGUUACCAACAGAAUAAGCACCGGCUAACUUCGUG
RNAcentral lists this ribosomal RNA (484 nucleotides) under uncultured bacterium. RNAcentral's name for it is "partial 16S ribosomal RNA". It matches the Rfam family "Bacterial small subunit ribosomal RNA", at positions 30 to 507 of the family's 1533-position model. The record is from RNAcentral.